AUUUAUUUUAUUAAUAAUUUUAUAUUUGUUAUUAAAGUAUAAUUUAUAAAAGUAAUUUAGUAUAUUUUUGUUUUAGUAUUAAGUUAAAAUAAAUUUUUAGAUUUAUAGUUUAAAAGUAUUGUGAAAGAAUUUUUUAAAUUUAAAAAAGAAUUAGAAAGUACCUUUUGUAUCAGGGUUAAUUAAAAUUAUUAAUUUAUUUUAAUUUCUCAAAAUUUAUAGAGUUAAUUUUAUUCUUAAUUUAUUGUUUUAUAAAUAUUUAUUAAAUAAUUUUUGUUUUGAAAUUUAAUUCGUUAUAUUAUAUUUAGUUAUUUAAGAUUUAAAUUUAAUUUAAAAUUUUAAAAGUUAUGUUAAUUUUUUUUAUUGAUAUUUUAAAUUUAAAUUAUUUUAGGGAUAAGCUUGAAAUUUUUAUAUAUUUUUUAUUUUAAUUUGAAUAUUUAAUAGAAUUAGAAAUUUUUAUUUUUGUAAAUUUGUAAAAAUUUGUUAUUUAAUUUUAUUUUGAUUUAUUAUAAAUUAAUUAUUUUUUUUAUUAAAUUUUAUAAAUUAAUAAAUUAUUUAUAGUAAUAAUGAUUAAAUUAGUAUAAUAAGAAAUUUAUAAUUUAUGAACUUGGCAAAAAUUAUUUUCAUCUGUUUAACAAAAACAUUGUAUUAAGAUUUAUUUAAUAUAGGAUCUGCUCAAUGAUUUUAUUAAAUAGCUGCAGUAUUUUAACUGUGCAAAGGUAGCAUAAUAAUUAGUCUUUUAAUUGGGGACUUGUAUGAAAGAUUUGAUGAAAAAUAAACUUUAUUAAUUAUAAAAUUAAAAUUUUAUUUUUAAGUAAAAAAGCUUAAAUAAUUUAAAGGGACGAUAAGACCCUAUAAAACUUUAUAAAUUAAGUAAAUUUUAUUUAUUUUGGUUUAUUUUAUUUAAUAUUUUUAAAUAAUUAUUUAAGAAUGAAUUUUAUUAUUUAUUUUAUUGGGGUGAUAAAAAAAAUUAAAAAACUUUUUUUAAAAUUUGACAUUAAUUAAUGAUAAAUUGAAUUAAAAAUUUUAAUUGUAGGAAAAAGUUACUUUAGGGAUAACAGCGUAAUUAAUUUUUUAAGUUCAAAUUUAAAAAUUAGUUUGCGACCUCGAUGUUGAAUUAAGAUAAAUCUUAGGUGCAAAAUUUUAAGUAUUAGGUCUGUUCGACCUUUAAAUUCUUACAUGAUUUGAGUUCAAACCGGUGUAAGCCAGGUUGGUUUCUAUCUUUUAAAAAUUAAUUAAUUUUAGUACGAAAGGAUUAAAUAAUUAAAUUAAAUUUUAUUUAAUUGAAUUAAAUUAAGUUA
This 1298-nucleotide ribosomal RNA is filed under the name Nippolachnus piri. RNAcentral's name for it is "16S ribosomal RNA". Lineage: Eukaryota; Metazoa; Arthropoda; Insecta; Hemiptera; Aphididae. The record is from RNAcentral.